CCUACGGGUGGCAGCAGUGAGGAAUAUUGGUCAAUGGACGAGAGCCUGAACCAGCCAAGUAGCGUGAAGGAUGACUGCCCUAUGGGUUGUAAACUUCUUUUAUAUGGGAAUAAAAUGCUCUACGUGUGGGAUUUUGUAUGUACCAUAUGAAUAAGGAUCGGCUAACUCCGUGCCAGCAGCCGCGGUAAUACGGAGGAUCCGAGCGUUAUCCGGAUUUAUUGGGUUUAAAGGGAGCGUAGGUGGAUUGUUAAGUCAGUUGUGAAAGUUUGCGGCUCAACCGUAAAAUUGCAGUUGAGACUGGCAGUCUUGAGUACAGUAGAGGUAGGCGGAAUUCGUGGUGUAGCGGUGAAAUGCUUAGAUAUCACGAAGAACUCCGAUUGCGAAGGCAGCUCACUGGACUGCAACUGACACUGAGGCUCGAAAGUGUGGGUAUCAAACAGGAUUAGAUACCCGUGUAGUC
This 460-nucleotide ribosomal RNA is filed under the name uncultured bacterium. RNAcentral describes it as "partial 16S ribosomal RNA". It matches the Rfam family "Bacterial small subunit ribosomal RNA", at positions 338 to 795 of the family's 1533-position model. The record is from RNAcentral.